ACGAACGCUGGCGGCGUGCUUAACCCAUGCAAGUCGUACGGUAAGGCCCUUUCGGGGGUACACGAGUGGCGAACGGGUGAGUAACACGUGAGUAACCUGCCCACAACUUUGGGAUAACGCUAGGAAACUGGUGCUAAUACUGGAUAUGUGCUCCUGCUGCAUGGUGGGGGUUGGAAAGCUCCGGCGGUUGUGGAUGGACUCGCGGCCUAUCAGCUUGUUGGUGGGGUAGUGGCCUACCAAGGCGGCGACGGGUAGCCGGCCUGAGAGGGUGACCGGCCACAUUGGGACUGAGAUACGGCCCAGACUCCUACGGGAGGCAGCAGUGGGGAAUAUUGCACAAUGGGCGCAAGCCUGAUGCAGCAACGCCGCGUGCGGGAUGACGGCCUUCGGGUUGUAAACCGCUUUCAGCAGGGACGAAGCUUUUUGUGACGGUACCUGCAGAAGAAGCACCGGCUAACUACGUG
RNAcentral lists this ribosomal RNA (464 nucleotides) under uncultured bacterium. RNAcentral describes it as "partial 16S ribosomal RNA". It matches the Rfam family "Bacterial small subunit ribosomal RNA", at positions 29 to 507 of the family's 1533-position model. The record is from RNAcentral.